ACCUCGGUGGUAUAAUGGUAGUACGCGUGCCCGGCAUGGAUGAAACGCGGAUUAGAGGCCCGCCUGAGGUC
Non-coding RNA from Parelaphostrongylus tenuis, 71 nucleotides. The record is from the annotation of a GenBank genome assembly. Lineage: Eukaryota; Metazoa; Nematoda; Chromadorea; Rhabditida; Metastrongylidae.